AUGCCGGAGUGCUUGCACUUUGGCAGACUGAGUGGCGGACGGGUGAGUAACGCGUGGGUAACCUGCCUUAUACAGGGGGAUAACAGUUGGAAACGACUGCUAAUACCGCAUAAGCGCACGGUAUCGCAUGAUACAGUGUGAAAAACUCCGGUGGUAUAGGAUGGGCCCGCGUCUGAUUAGCUAGUUGGAGGUGUAACGGACCACCAAGGCGACGAUCGGUAGCCGGACUGAGAGGUUGAACGGCCACAUUGGGACUGAGACACGGCCCAAACUCC
RNAcentral lists this ribosomal RNA (275 nucleotides) under uncultured Lachnospiraceae bacterium. RNAcentral's name for it is "partial 16S ribosomal RNA". It matches the Rfam family "Bacterial small subunit ribosomal RNA", at positions 68 to 339 of the family's 1533-position model. The record is from RNAcentral. Lineage: Bacteria; Bacillati; Bacillota; Clostridia; Lachnospirales; Lachnospiraceae.